Molecule: ribosomal RNA, 1037 nt
Filed under: Salmonella enterica
Lineage: Bacteria; Pseudomonadati; Pseudomonadota; Gammaproteobacteria; Enterobacterales; Enterobacteriaceae
Description: bacterial SSU rRNA
Rfam family: Bacterial small subunit ribosomal RNA
Source: RNAcentral
GAGUAAUGUCUGGGAAACUGCCUGAUGGAGGGGGAUAACUACUGGAAACGGUGGCUAAUACCGCAUAACGUCGCAAGACCAAAGAGGGGGACCUUCGGGCCUCUUGCCAUCAGAUGUGCCCAGAUGGGAUUAGCUUGUUGGUGAGGUAACGGCUCACCAAGGCGACGAUCCCUAGCUGGUCUGAGAGGAUGACCAGCCACACUGGAACUGAGACACGGUCCAGACUCCUACGGGAGGCAGCAGUGGGGAAUAUUGCACAAUGGGCGCAAGCCUGAUGCAGCCAUGCCGCGUGUAUGAAGAAGGCCUUCGGGUUGUAAAGUACUUUCAGCGGGGAGGAAGGUGUUGUGGUUAAUAACCGCAGCAAUUGACGUUACCCGCAGAAGAAGCACCGGCUAACUCCGUGCCAGCAGCCGCGGUAAUACGGAGGGUGCAAGCGUUAAUCGGAAUUACUGGGCGUAAAGCGCACGCAGGCGGUCUGUCAAGUCGGAUGUGAAAUCCCCGGGCUCAACCUGGGAACUGCAUUCGAAACUGGCAGGCUUGAGUCUUGUAGAGGGGGGUAGAAUUCCAGGUGUAGCGGUGAAAUGCGUAGAGAUCUGGAGGAAUACCGGUGGCGAAGGCGGCCCCCUGGACAAAGACUGACGCUCAGGUGCGAAAGCGUGGGGAGCAAACAGGAUUAGAUACCCUGGUAGUCCACGCCGUAAACGAUGUCUACUUGGAGGUUGUGCCCUUGAGGCGUGGCUUCCGGAGCUAACGCGUUAAGUAGACCGCCUGGGGAGUACGGCCGCAAGGUUAAAACUCAAAUGAAUUGACGGGGGCCCGCACAAGCGGUGGAGCAUGUGGUUUAAUUCGAUGCAACGCGAAGAACCUUACCUGGUCUUGACAUCCACAGAAGAAUCCAGAGAUGGAUUUGUGCCUUCGGGAACUGUGAGACAGGUGCUGCAUGGCUGUCGUCAGCUCGUGUUGUGAAAUGUUGGGUUAAGUCCCGCAACGAGCGCAACCCUUAUCCUUUGUUGCCAGCGGUUAGGCCGGGAACUCAA